RNAcentral lists this ribosomal RNA (115 nucleotides) under Cordylochernes scorpioides. Lineage: Eukaryota; Metazoa; Arthropoda; Arachnida; Pseudoscorpiones; Chernetidae. The record is from RNAcentral.
ACGGCCAUACCACAUUGAAAACACCGGUUCUCGUCCAAUCACCGAAGUUAAGCAAUGUCAGGCCCGGUCAGUACUUGGGAGGGUGACCACCUGGGAACACCGGGUGCUGUAGAUU